Molecule: ribosomal RNA, 253 nt
Filed under: uncultured bacterium
Lineage: Bacteria
Description: partial 16S ribosomal RNA
Rfam family: Bacterial small subunit ribosomal RNA
Source: RNAcentral
GACGAACCGUGCUAACGUUGUUCGGAAUCACUGGGCUUAAAGGGCGCGUAGGCGGGCAAGCAAGUCAGGGGUGAAAGCCCACGGCUCAACCGUGGAAGUGCCUUUGAUACUGCGUGCCUUGAGGGAGGUAGGGGCGUGCGGAACUUCCGGUGGAGCGGUGAAAUGCGUAGAUAUCGGAAGGAACACCGGUGGCGAAAGCGGCGCGCUGGACCUCUUCUGACGCUGAGGCGCGAAAGCCAGGGGAGCAAACGGG